RNAcentral lists this ribosomal RNA (446 nucleotides) under uncultured bacterium. RNAcentral's name for it is "partial 16S ribosomal RNA". It matches the Rfam family "Bacterial small subunit ribosomal RNA", at positions 338 to 795 of the family's 1533-position model. The record is from RNAcentral.
CCUACGGGCGACUGCAGUCGAGAAUCAUUCACAAUGGGGGAAACCCUGAUGGUGCGACGCCGCGUGGGGGAAUGAAGGUCUUCGGAUUGUAAACCCCUGUCAUGUGGGAGCAAAUUAAAAAGAUAGUACCACAAGAGGAAGAGACGGCUAACUCUGUGCCAGCAGCCGCGGUAAUACAGAGGUCUCAAGCGUUGUUCGGAAUCACUGGGCGUAAGGCGUGCGUAGGCUGUUUCGUAAGUCGUGUGUGAAAGGCGCGGGCUCAACCCGCGGACGGCACAUGAUACUGCGAGACUAGAGUAAUGGAGGGGGAACCGGAAUUCUCGGUGUAGCAGUGAAAUGCGUAGAUAUCGAGAGGAACACUCGUGGCGAAGGCGGGUUCCUGGACAUUAACUGACGCUGAGGCACGAAGGCCAGGGGAGCGAAAGGGAUUAGAUACCCUGGUAGUC